GAUGAACGCUGGCGGCGUGCCUAACACAUGCAAGUCGAACGGUUAAGGCGCCUUCGGGCGCGAAUAGAGUGGCGAACGGGUGAGUAACACGUGACCAACCUGCCCCGCGCUCUGGGACAGCCUCGGGAAACCGGGAUUAAUACCGGAUGCGCCGGGGGGCGCGCAUGCGCCCCCCGGGAAAGCCUCAGCGGCGCGGGAUGGGGUCGCGGCCCAUCAGGUAGACGGCCGGGUGACGGCCGGCCGUGCCUACGACGGGUAGCCGGGUUGAGAGACCGACCGGCCACAUUGGGACUGAGAUACGGCCCAG
RNAcentral lists this ribosomal RNA (307 nucleotides) under uncultured bacterium. Its description in RNAcentral is "bacterial SSU rRNA". It matches the Rfam family "Bacterial small subunit ribosomal RNA", at positions 28 to 334 of the family's 1533-position model. The record is from RNAcentral.